RNAcentral lists this long non-coding RNA (909 nucleotides) under Populus trichocarpa (black cottonwood). RNAcentral describes it as "long non-coding RNA (PTRI_LNC002217)". Lineage: Eukaryota; Viridiplantae; Streptophyta; Magnoliopsida; Malpighiales; Salicaceae. The record is from RNAcentral.
UCCUAAUUUGUUCAACAGUGUACAGACCCCCAGCCUCGUACCCACAUAUAUCAACUUGAAGGACCCCAUCAACAUGCAUUGGCCUAAAACUAUAGAGACUCCUACAUGGACACAACAAACCAUACGCAGCCCUCCUUCUGAUAUCAUCAUCUGCCUCUUCAACAGCCUUGAUCAGGAAGACCUUCGCAUUUGUUUGCUUUGAUUUCUCAACAUAAUGAGAAUCAAAUUGAACAAGUUCCGUCGGAUCAAGCCACCCAUAGCUACCAUCUCCAAAAAAAGCAACCAGGACAUGACCCUCUCUCUUUGUUUCACACAUGCACGACAUAGAAAACUCCUUGUCAAACUCCUUUUCAUCAAACACGCAGCCCGUGUACGAAUCCCAGACUCCUUGUUUCUCAUACCAUAACCCAUUCUUGCAGCCUCAACUACAGAUUCAAUUUCUCCAGAAUCAGUAUCAUACCAAGCUCUGGAAUCCCUAACCCCACUCUUCCUAUUGUUAUAUGCAUCUUCAACACUAAAACGACCAAACCUAUCAUGCAACUUUGUAGUUGUAGAUGGCAGGGUGAAGUGGAAGGUAACCUUGCGAAGGGGAAGGAGUUGUUGUCACUGGCCUGGCGUGAGGUGGGUGGAGGUGCUAGCAGAAGAAUGGUGGCGAUGGCCUAAGUCGGCUAUGGAAGAAGAAAAAGCUUGCAUAAGAGAAAGAUAGAGGAGUUCAUGGUGGCAUCACUAUUCAUCGCGGUGGGCGCUGACAAUCGCUGAGGAAGGAGCUGAUGUUCGUGAAGGUGUGUAGCUUAGGGUUCAUGGCGGAGAAGCCAGCUGUGGAAGAGGUAGCAAAAAGCUGACGGGGAGAGAGAGAAGAGAAAGAACUCGUGUAGAAGAAAAAUUAGGGGAGGCUGGUUUUCAGUCAAA